RNAcentral lists this ribosomal RNA (398 nucleotides) under uncultured bacterium. RNAcentral's name for it is "partial 16S ribosomal RNA". It matches the Rfam family "Bacterial small subunit ribosomal RNA", at positions 523 to 918 of the family's 1533-position model. The record is from RNAcentral.
AUACGUAGGGGGCGAGCGUUGUCCGGAAUUACUGGGCGUAAAGAGCUCGUAGGUGGUUUGUCGCGUCGUCUGUGAAAUUCCGGGGCUUAACUCCGGGCGUGCAGGCGAUACGGGCAUAACUUGAGUACUGUAGGGGAGACUGGAAUUCCUGGUGUAGCGGUGAAAUGCGCAGAUAUCAGGAGGAACACCGGUGGCGAAGGCGGGUCUCUGGGCAGUAACUGACGCUGAGGAGCGAAAGCAUGGGUAGCGAACAGGAUUAGAUACCCUGGUAGUCCAUGCCGUAAACGGGGGGCGCUAGGUGUAGGGGUCUUCCACGACUUCUGUGCCGUAGCUAACGCAUUAAGCGCCCCGCCUGGGGAGUACGGCCGCAAGGCUAAAACUCAAAUGAAUUGACGGGG